UUCGCGUGACAUGAGGGUUGGGUUUGCUUUCUUAAAUGUAAACACUAUCAAAGGAGUUUAAAUUAUUAUUUAAUCUUUAUCAGCCACUUUUGGGAUGGCCAUAGGCACCGAAACCGGCGUGCACUAACGUCGCAAUGAAAUGUUGCUGCAGGCCUGAUGCUGCAAGGCAAGUGUGGUUUAGGUGAAAAUCACAGGCCUGUAGGUCACAGCUUGCCACUGACAUGUGCUCGAUGCUCGGGAGCUGGCAGUGCCACCCAAGGCAGUCUGUGCCUGUCCUUGCUGUGUUCAGCCAUGACAACGCCCAUGUUUCUGCCUGGUGAUAAUCAAGUACAUAAACCACCUUGCACUGUGGAACCAUGGUCCUGAAGCAAAAGGAACCACAUUUUCUAUUCUAAAAAGGAGCGAGUGGGCAGCAGGAGCAGAAGUGGGAGAGGCUCUCUCUCUUCUGUGGUGUCUCCACAGCCUUCCUCGAGACCAUUAUGGGAUAUUAGGGUAUGUUUAAGGAGCAGAUAGCAUAUCUCCCAUGAACAUUUCCUGUCUCACCCAGAACAUGACAAUAGUUCCCUAGGCAAACUCAUUUUUCCCCUUAGAGGCCACAGUUUGCAUGAAGAUACUGAAAACAGGGCUGGUAUUGACCA
Non-coding RNA from Meleagris gallopavo (turkey), 638 nucleotides. Lineage: Eukaryota; Metazoa; Chordata; Aves; Galliformes; Phasianidae. The record is from RefSeq and is a predicted model, not a curated record.